GGUGAACGCUGGCGGUGUGCCUAACACAUGCAAGUCGAACGACCGCACGAGAAGAUUGUUCUCUUACCGGUGGCGACUGGCGGGCGGGUGACGCGUGCAUCACAUUCUUCUUUUUCUGGGAUAAUAACGGGAGACAACUUACACUACUGCCUCAUAUAAUCUACGGGUGGAAGCAAUAGAUAUUCUCAGCUUUCGCGAUUCAAUUAGCCGAUGUCGGAUUAGCUAGUUUGCGGGGUAAGGGCCCACCAAGGCGACGAUCCGUAGCUGGUCUGAGAGGAUGAUCAGCCACACUGGAACUGAGACACGGUCCAGACUCCUACGGGAGGCAGCAGUGGGGAAUAUUGGACAAUGGGCGAAAGCCUGACGCAGCAAUACCGCGUGGGUGAAGAAGGUCUUCGGGUUGUAAAGCCCUUUUGUUGGGAAAGAACAGCUGCAGGUUAAUACCCGGCUGUUCUGACGGUACCCAAAGAAUAAGCACCGGCUAACUACGUG
Molecule: ribosomal RNA, 492 nt
Filed under: uncultured bacterium
Lineage: Bacteria
Description: partial 16S ribosomal RNA
Rfam family: Bacterial small subunit ribosomal RNA
Source: RNAcentral